CCGAGUUAUCAACUCCCAACCCAUGUGAACUAUACCUACUGUUGCUUCGGCGGGAUUGCCCGGCGCCUCGUGCCCGGAUCAGGCCCCCUAGAACCUUAACUCUUUUUAAUUAGUAUCUUCUGAGUAGGUUUACAAAAUGAAUAA
This 144-nucleotide unclassified non-coding RNA is filed under the name soil metagenome. RNAcentral describes it as "partial internal transcribed spacer 1". The record is from RNAcentral.